This 244-nucleotide unclassified non-coding RNA is filed under the name plant metagenome. RNAcentral describes it as "partial contains small subunit ribosomal RNA, internal transcribed spacer 1, and 5.8S ribosomal RNA". The record is from RNAcentral.
UCUCCGUUGGUGAACCAGCGGAGGGAUCAUUACCGAGUUUACAACUCCCAAACCCAAUUUGAACCAUACCAAACUGUUGCCUCGGCGGGGUCACGCCCCGGGUGCGUCGCAGCCCCGGAACCAGGCGCCCGCCGGAGGGACCAACCAAACUCUUUCUGUAGUCCCCUCGCGGACGUUAUUUUUACAGCUCUGAGCAAAAAUUCAAAAUGAAUCAAAACUUUCAACAACGGAUCUCUUGGUUCUG